Molecule: ribosomal RNA, 392 nt
Filed under: uncultured fungus
Lineage: Eukaryota; Fungi
Description: partial small subunit ribosomal RNA
Rfam family: Eukaryotic small subunit ribosomal RNA
Source: RNAcentral
GCUUGUCUCAAAGAUUAAGCCAUGCAAGUCUAAGUAUAAGCUUUUUAUACGGCAAAACUGCGAAUAGCUCAUUACAACAGUUGUAAUCUCCACGAUGAUAUUUACUAUAUGGAUAUCCAUGGUAAUUCUGGAGCUAAUACAUGCUAAAAAACCUGACUUUCGGGAAAGGUUGCAUUCAUUAGAAUUCAGACCCAACCACCUCACGGUGAAAUUGGUGAUCAUAAUGAAAGAGCGGAUCGCAUUCUUGCGACAUUUCGUUCGAGCUUCUGACCUAUCAGCUUCCGUCGGUAGGGUAUUGGCCUACCGAGGCUGUGACGGGUAACGGGGAAUUAGGGUUCGAUUCCGGAGAGGGAGCCUGAGAAACGGCUACCACAUCUAAGGAAGGCAGCAGG